RNAcentral lists this long non-coding RNA (244 nucleotides) under Mytilus galloprovincialis (Mediterranean mussel). The record is from RNAcentral. Lineage: Eukaryota; Metazoa; Mollusca; Bivalvia; Mytilida; Mytilidae.
GUCAUGUCUGGUAAAUUUCCAACAUAUAUUAUCAACUACUAUUCUAUACAAAGAAAGAUAACUCCAAUUGAAAAUUAAUUGCUAUUGCACAAUAUUGUGCAAUUAGAUAUUUCUUGCUAUUGUGCAAUACUGUGCAAUUGAAAAUUUCUUGCUAUUGCACAAUACUUGAUAUGGAAUCCUGAUUUGGACCAACUUGAAAACUGGGCCCAUAAUCAAAAAUCAAAGUACAUAUUUAGAUAAAGCA